AUUGAACGCUGGCGGCAGGCCUAACACAUGCAAGUCGAGCGGAUGAAGGGAGCUUGCUCCUGGAUUCAGCGGAGGACGGGUGAGUAAUGCCUAGGAAUCUGCCUGGUAGUGGGGGAUAACGUCCGGAAACGGGCGCUAAUACCGCAUACGUCCUGAGGGAGAAAGUGGGGGAUCUUAGGACCUCACGCUAUCAGAUGAGCCUAGGUCGGAUUAGCUAGUUGGUGGGGUAAAGGCCUACCAAGGCGACGAUCCGUAACUGGUCUGAGAGGAUGAUCAGUCACACUGGAACUGAGACACGGUCCCGACUCCUACGUGAGGCAGCAGUGGGGAAUAUUGGACAAUGGGCGGAAGCCUGUUCCAGCCAUGCCGCGUGUGUGAAGAAGGUCUUCGGAUUGUAAAGCACUUUAAGUUGGGAGGAAGGGCAGUAAGUUAAUACCUUGCUGUUUUGACGUUACCAACAGAAUAAGCACCGGCUAACUUCGUG
Molecule: ribosomal RNA, 484 nt
Filed under: uncultured bacterium
Lineage: Bacteria
Description: partial 16S ribosomal RNA
Rfam family: Bacterial small subunit ribosomal RNA
Source: RNAcentral